RNAcentral lists this long non-coding RNA (2873 nucleotides) under Lupinus angustifolius (narrow-leaved blue lupine). Its description in RNAcentral is "long non-coding RNA (LANG_LNC001113)". Lineage: Eukaryota; Viridiplantae; Streptophyta; Magnoliopsida; Fabales; Fabaceae. The record is from RNAcentral.
CUCUCUCUGCUUCACUCACCACAUCUUUUUCUCAAAUUUUCUCUCUCUCUCUCUCUGCUUCUUUCUCUCUAAUUUUCUUUCCGAGACUCACUUCUCUUUCUCUACUUUUUUUCUCUCAAUCUCACAUCUCUUUCUCACACUCUUUUCACCGGUAUUUUUCUAAAGCUAUGAUUUUAUUAUAAUUUCCUUUUAAUUUCUUUCUUUAACUUUCUCAUCCUUGAAGUUGUCUCAUGGAUUCUAGGUUCUCAAGUAUGAUUUCUCAUUAUAAUUUAUUUCAAACUUUUUUGAUAUUAUUUUCGGUAUGCAUGUUACUUUUGUGUUAUUUAUAACAUUUUUAGUAGAACAAACUUAUGUUUUGUUUUUUAGUUCAAUAUUUACUAAUAAUAUGUCAUUUUUAUCUAAGAAGUUAACAUAUUUUUCAGUAUUUUUGCUUCAUGAACCUUAUUUUUUGGUAUGAUUUCUCAUUACAACUUAUUUGGAAUUUAUUUUUGUUAUUUUAUGUAUGGAUGCUCACUAUCUAAUCCAUUGAAUCUUCUGAUUCUCCCUAAUCAGGUACAUUUUAUGAGCAAGUUAACAUUUUUUGGACAUUUUUGGUUGAUGAAGCUUAUUUAAUGCAUUUAAAGUUGAAGAUAACAUUUUUCCUCCAUUUUAAUGUUUGCAUGUUUAAAAUGGGUGCAUCAAAGAGCAAGAAAAAUUGUAUUUUUCAAAUUGAAGAAGUAGUAGUCCAUCCUCCAAUCGCCACACGCCAGUGCUAUCAUCACUGGCACUAUCACCGAGCCGUCACAACACUCAAGUUAGUCAUUUUGAUAUAACUAUCUUAUCAUUUUAGAAAAAUGAUUUAUCACUUUUAAAAUUAACCCAUAAUUUUAAAUUAUAUAUUUUGUAAUAGUGUCAUUUUAUUAGUCAUUUUGAUAUAACUAUUUUAUCAUUUUAGAAAAAAUGAUUUAUCUCUUAUAAAAUCAAUUUAGUUUACUCUUUCUAUUGGUAUCAGUCAUUAUAUUUGUUUUAUUUAUAAAAUUUGCAACUUUGUUUCAUGUGGUUGCACAUGAAGUUAAAUAUAAAUGAUGAACAUAAAAGAGAAUUAUAUGGAUUUAUUCAGGCAUUGGACUUACUAUUUUUAAUUUAAGGCUUCAUGAGUUCUUUUUUUUACAAGUAAUAGUAUUUGAUACAAUUUAGCUUACUCUUUCUGUAAAAAAACAAAUGUUUAUAAAUGUUACUUUUUAGUUUUAUUUGAGCAAAGUAUAAUGAUGUUCCCAGUUGAUUUUUUUAUGGGAUUCUACAGUUUAUCCUCUUUUCAUUGACAAUAUUUGUCACUUCUUUCUUUUUCACGGGAAGGUGUGAAAAGUAGAUACAUGUAUAUAAAUAUUUCAACAAUUUAACUUGCUUCAACUUUGCAUGCAUCUCUAUAAUUCAUUAUAGUGGCAACUGCUGUUACUGUUUCGUUUUUCCCUUUAUAUGUCCCAUAAUUUGUUUUUUAUUACUAAUUUUGUUAUAACUAUCUUAUCAUUUUAGAUAAAAAUGAUUUAUCUCUUAUAAAAUCAACUCAUAACUUUAAAAGAUGAGAAAUUAUAUUUUUGUUUGUUCUAUUAUCAUUUUGUCAUUCUAUUUACUACAAGAUUGUUUCUCAUUUGUAUUUUUAGAUUAGAUUAGUAGGAAAGUCGUAUAGCAUAAAAAAAACCAAAACAAAAAGAGGAGUCAAUAACAAUAGUGUAUGGUAAAAUUUUCACUUUAGUGAUGUCUAGAAUCCUGCAAAAUUAAUAGUUUGAGAUACCAUUCAUAUAUUAGACACACAUAACUUGACAACUAUUAUUUAUGAGGACAUUUUGGUCUUUUUGAUAUAUUAUUUCUCUGAUACAUUUUAAACAGUGUUUCAUUUAUAGUAACUAUACUUCUUCUCUGUCAUUAUUACAGUGCCACCAUUUUUUUUAAAAUUCCAGCAUGUCACAUAUUGUGACAUAUCUUUCAGGCUUCAAUCACAUGAACAAUGACUUUUCACUUCUCUUUGUAAUAUCUUUCUUCUAUUAUCUAAAGUGUAAAUAUGGUUUUGCUUCCUUAUGUAUGUUAUUUCAUGAUGGUAUUAAUAUUUCUAAACUUACCAAACAAAAUUAGUUUAGUUUGUUUGAGUUUAUUUAGUUUGAAUAUGCACUUUCAAUUUUUAUUUUGUUAGGUGAUCUGAAUUUAGUAAGUGUUUAUUAUAAACUUUGGUCGAGAGAUUAUAAUAUGUGAGAUUAUAAAUAUAUAAAAAAUCAACCAAGUAAUCUUAAAUACAUUGUUUUUGUUUAUUUGUCUUGAUUUAUAUGUUUUUUAUAAAAUAAUCCGAUUACCCAAAUAAAAUUAAUUUAUAAAAAAACUUAUAAACUAAAAUAUUCUCAAUCAAACAAAUUGUAUCACAAGUAUAUCUAUUGUUAUUGUUCUAUAUCUAAAAUUGUUAUUAUAAUAAUAGAAAUAGCACUUUGGCAUAAGAGAAAGGAAAAACGAUAGGAUCCAAUUGAUUGUAAUGAUCUCAAGUCAAUGAAAUUUAUUCGUUUGGUAUGAAGUUUAUCAUUUUGAAUAUUAAAUGUAUUUAGUUUGGAUUUCAAUUAUUAAAUAAAGCUAAGUAGAAUAUUUUAUCAAAAUUUAUGUGCUCAUAUUUGUCUUAUUUUUGCUGGUGAUUUUUUAGACCUCUAGAUUAGCUACAAUAGUGAAGUGAAUGGAGUUAUAAGAAAAACAACUACUCAUGACAUAGAACUAAAUGAUGGGUUUUACUUUUUCUGAGGGCUAUUCAUGAGUCUACCCUAUAGUAUUUAGUUUAUGGAUUCAAGAAGUUGUUUUUAAAUUUUUGGCUUCAUUCAGUCACUUCUACUGCACUCAUAAAGUAGUAAACAUAAUAGAAA